GUGACUAGAGGGGUGUCUGUGGCUAUUCUAGUGAAGGAAAACCUCUUUGAGGAGAGACCUGGAGAAGAGCCAAAGAAGAAGCACUCCAGCUAGAGAACCCUGAGUAUGCUGUGCUGGGGAUACAGAGAGAAGACCUGUUGACUUGACUGUGGAGUGCCAUGUCGUACAUCCAAUAAAGUUAAACUCUGCAAGCAAGAGAGAGAAGAGGAGAGAAAGGAGAGAAUCUAAAGUGUGUGAUUCUGUUUACCAUUCCACAGAAGUUGGAUCACUAGAGGGCGAUAUCGGACAAGAGAAAGAAGAAUUCUUCACCACCGUUUCUAGGACUGGUGAAGAGAUGGCAGUAGCCCUCAAAGGGGGCUUGUAAGAAGAACCUCCCUGCCCAAUGAAGUCAACAAGCUUAUCUUCAUGGGAAGCCACCUUUCCUGGAGAAGAAAGAUCUUGCUUCUUGGAGAUGACUGUCUUUAAGCUCAUGGACUAAUAUACAGGUUGUUAAAUUGACUUUCAUCACAUUCUUAGAGGCUUCACUGAGUCCCCAGAACAGAGGUCAGUGAUUGUUAAGCACCCAUCCUUUCUGGAAAACAUAGAUGCUAGACAUAUCCUUGGGAAGUUUCUGAGAGAGAGAGCAAAAAUGGUCCCUCAUGUCCAUCAUUCACAUCCAUGCUGUGUAAGAGAAAGAAAACCAGACAUUUAAAGAUAGAAUUAAAUGAAGGGAUGUCUUGGGAGUGAGUAGUUCUCUCCAACCACCACUACUACUUCCAGUCAAAUAAAAGAGCUGCAAGAGUAAAUGGUGGAGGUAUUUGGGAUGCGUUCCUCUGCCUAGAAGAUGCUGAAAGCUGGAGGCUGGCUGGAAAUGACAGUGAUGGUGGGGCUAGGAGACAGGGUGGCAGGAGGAGCAACAGCACUUAUAUCAUUUGUGGGGCAAGAUAAAUGGGUUUUCCCGUGGGCUGAGUAGACAAAGAGGAGGGCAGUCAGGCUCAGCCUCUCUGAAAGGGCUCCACCCCAGAGGGCUGCCUGUCUGUUUUUUUUAAUCCAAAUGUCAGUUCAAAUGUUACAUCCUCAGAGAUGCCUCCCCUGACCACCAGGGCAAUAGAGUGUUCCCUGUAGUCACACUUUAUUACACCACCUGGUUUAUUUCCUUGAUACUACUUACAAUAUAAACUUAUGUUUUCCUUUGUUAGUUUAUUUAUUGUCUGGUACCUGUCCAAAGUUUCACAGGAAGAAUUAGAGGUGGAGAAGUGAGGAUUUGGGGAAGGAAUCUCAAAGAGGAUAUUCUUUACAAAGUAGAAUCGUCUUACUAAAUUUAAGUUCCAUGAGAGCAGGACUUUAUUCAUCUUAUUCACCACUAUUCCAGGUACUUGGAAUAGAACCUGGCACAUAGUAGCUACUCAACAAAAAUGUGUAAACUAAGUACAUCUCUGCAAGCAAGAGCCCUAAGAGAUAAAUAGACUGGUUCUGAGAAUGGCAUUUUUUCCAGUCCAUGGCCUGCUUGUAAAUGUCUGUGUUAAAGGGUGUAGAGGGAGAAGCAGGUAGGAACCAUAAACUGGAAUACAUUUUUUGUCCUCUCUGGUUUUCUAUUAUGCCUGUGCUUCACUGUCUGGAUAACCAGGAAGUAACACUUUAGGGAAGGUUUUUCCUUCUCCUUUCCUCCUAGUCUCUUCUUAUAAUCUGCAAAGUCUGCUGGCCCCUGGAAACUCACAUGGCCACUUAGUUGGUUUUGAUUGAUUGGAUUGGCAGUGAUGAGCUCUCCCCAGCUUUGAUAUGCCUCCAGGCUUCAGGGAAAGUUGAGCCCCUGGCCAGAUGUUUGGAGACAAUUUGGAAAGGUAGAAAUAUACAAAGGAUAUGCAUUUGCUAGUGUUAUUUGUGGCUUUUGUGCACAUCCUCCUGAGUCAUGUUAAAUUAAAAUCGUUUACUUUAAGCAAGUGUGUGUCUUCAGUAAUUGGGACCACCAAAAAACAAAUUCAUUGAAAAAACAUGGGUAAACCAGGGUGUUGUAAAAGCCAUUCAUUUCUCAUGCUUUUGGUUAGAAUCACAAAUUAAAUAUCCAUAAACCUAGUCAUACAGUGAAGUGAGAAAUUACAGCCUUUUCUUUCUGUAAGAAUUUUUUGAAAGAUUGAAAUAAAAAUCAAAAUACAUUUGAACAGCACUUUCCAGUUUACCAGCACUUCUACCUAUAUUAUAUCAUGUGGUUGAAAAAAGACAAAUCAUUUAGUAAACUUUAAACUGAUAAAGUCAUAAAGCUGAAGAAACUUCUGGCUGUUCAGUGAGUAAAUGAAUGUUUGAGUGG
RNAcentral lists this long non-coding RNA (2284 nucleotides) under Macaca mulatta (Rhesus monkey). Its description in RNAcentral is "lncRNA (ENSMMUG00000059241.1)". Lineage: Eukaryota; Metazoa; Chordata; Mammalia; Primates; Cercopithecidae. The record is from RNAcentral.